RNAcentral lists this ribosomal RNA (273 nucleotides) under uncultured bacterium. Its description in RNAcentral is "partial 16S ribosomal RNA". It matches the Rfam family "Bacterial small subunit ribosomal RNA", at positions 524 to 796 of the family's 1533-position model. The record is from RNAcentral.
UACGUAGGGGGCAAGCGUUGUCCGGAUUCAUUGGGCGUAAAGCGCGCGCAGGCGGCUAGCUGAGCCCGGCGUGAAAGCCCCCGGCUCAACCGGGGGAGGUCGUCGGGGACCAGGUGGCUGGAGGCCGGUAGGGGCGAGCGGAAUUCCCGGUGUAGUGGUGGAAUGCGUAGAGAUCGGGAGGAACACCAGUGGCGAAGGCGGCUCGCUGGGCCGGUCCUGACGCUCAGGCGCGAAAGCGUGGGGAGCGAUCCGGAUUAGAAACCCCCGUAGUCC